This is a non-coding RNA of Acanthosepion pharaonis, 104 nucleotides long. The record is from the annotation of a GenBank genome assembly. NCBI's taxonomy places the organism in Eukaryota, Metazoa, Mollusca, Cephalopoda, Sepiida, Sepiidae.
AUACGGCCAUAUCAUGUUGAAACACCGAUUCUCAUACGAUCACCGAAGUUAAGCCUGGUCAGUAUCUAGAUGGGUAACCGCUUCGGAAUAUCAAGUGCGGUAAG